UUUUAUCGGAGAGUUUGAUCCUGGCUCAGGACGAACGCUGGCGGCGUGCCUAAUACAUGCAAGUCGAGCGGAUUGAUGGGAGCUUGCUCCCUGAUAUCAGCGGCGGACGGGUGAGUAACACGUGGGUAACCUGCCUGUAAGACUGGGAUAAC
RNAcentral lists this ribosomal RNA (152 nucleotides) under Rossellomorea vietnamensis. RNAcentral describes it as "Bacillus vietnamensis partial 16S ribosomal RNA". It matches the Rfam family "Bacterial small subunit ribosomal RNA", at positions 1 to 147 of the family's 1533-position model. The record is from RNAcentral. Lineage: Bacteria; Bacillati; Bacillota; Bacilli; Caryophanales; Bacillaceae.